Molecule: ribosomal RNA, 469 nt
Filed under: uncultured bacterium
Lineage: Bacteria
Description: bacterial SSU rRNA
Rfam family: Bacterial small subunit ribosomal RNA
Source: RNAcentral
GAUGAACGCUAGCGAUAGGCCUAACACAUGCAAGUCGAGGGGCAUCACAUGAAGUAGCAAUACGGAUGGUGGCGACCGGCGCACGGGUGAGUAACACGUAUGCAACCUGCCUUCAACAAGGGGAUAACCCGUUGAAAGACGGACUAAUACCCUAUAACACAGGGGUCCCGCAUGGGAAUAUUUGUUAAAGGACAACUGGUUGAAGAUGGGCAUGCGUUCCAUUAGCUAGUUGGCGGGUAACGGCCCACCAAGGCAACGAUGGAUAGGGGAACUGAGAGGUUUAUCCCCCACACUGGUACUGAGGACACGGACCAGACUCCUACGGGAGGCAGCAGUGAGGAAUAUUGGUCAAUGGACGCAAGUCUGAACCAGCCACGUCGCGUGAAGGAAGACGGCCCUACGGGUUGUAAACUUCUUUUGCAGGGGAAUAAAUGAGCCACGUGUGGUUUUUUGUAUGUACUCUGCGAAU